Molecule: ribosomal RNA, 115 nt
Filed under: Cordylochernes scorpioides
Lineage: Eukaryota; Metazoa; Arthropoda; Arachnida; Pseudoscorpiones; Chernetidae
Source: RNAcentral
ACGGCUAUACCACAUUGAAAACACCGGUUCUCGUCCGAUCACCGAAGUUAAGCAAUGUCGGGCCCGGUCAGUACUUGGGAGGGUGACCACCUGGGAACACCGGGUGCUGUAGGCU